UAGAAACACUUGCUUAACGCUUGGGGGAGUCAAAUUUGGUUUUGGGAGUAGAUUCAAGACUGGGUAAGAAGUCAAUAACCUUGUAAUUAAUUUAUGUUUUUGUACAUGCCGUCAUCACUGCCGUUAUUUCUGCAUUAGAAAAAAGUCCACUGUCUAGCCAUUUCUGUCUCCACAGUUUGUACAUCGCGCCUUGGAUUUGUUCAUUACUAGAAAUAUAAUGAAGGGGAUGGAUGACACAUGUUCUAUCCUUGUCACUAUAGAUUUAUCAGUGCCGCUGAUGCCAAACUAGAAAUCACCAGGCCACACGCAUCGUCCUGCUGAGAUGAUUCUUCCCCCAUCAAGAAAGGCUGUCUUUGAUCACCAUACGCGAUCUCGCACUGUCUAAAUUCGGCGGCAUGUUUGACACGGCGGCAACUUCUUAUUUUUAAGAACAAAAAUUUCUUACACGCCUGUGCACAAUGUCUUGCAUAUUAUUGGAAUUCACUUCUCUUUGACAUGGAAGCUUGUAGAACUGUUUCCUAUUCCACUUUUAUUUAUUUAUUUAUUGCAUGGCUUAAUUAAUUGUAUCUCUACUUGUAUAUGCCAUUUUUGUUCUUAAAAUAUUGCUUAAUGGUUGGUGUGUCUCUUCCCGUGUACAGUUUGACAGGUCGGAGAUGGUGACUCAACCUACUAUUGGAAAUUGCAUUGGAGCUCAAUUGAUGCGAGUUUUAGCUAGAACAUCUUGUGAUUUCUGCAUCAUACCAUCCCCCAGCCAGUUACUGGUUGGAAGAAACUCACAUCGAGUUUUGCACCACCAAAUUAUAAGAAUUCCCAAAAUUUGAACACACAAAUAAUGAAAUCUUAAAAACUUUUGCGGCUUCCUUUGAAUACCACGGUGAUGCUGACAGCCUUCCUUCUUGCAGACAAAGGCACAUUGAGUCUGUUUACUUGAAUUUGGAUAUGGAAGUAAAACUCCACGUUAGCUUCUUCGAUCUAACACAAGCUAUUGUGGUGAUGUGUUGAAAACCAAAACUUCUUCGGUUCUCGCUUCCUUCUCUUUAUAAUGAGUUGAGAACAUGAUUUGCAGAUUUCUGGUUUGCCUUUGGAAACUGACAAUUUGCAGAAAUUUGUUUAAAAGAUCGACAUAUGGAGGUCAUUUUUCUUUACUUUUCUCAAUAAGCGUUGGCUACUUUUCAUGAAAGGACGAUAAACAGGAUGUAGUUCCCAAAUUAUUUGAGGAUGGAUCAAAUGGAUAAGUGCUUCUGCAGUGAUGAUGCAUGUAUUUGUGGAUGCGUUUCUCAGUUAACCCUGAGUUGUUGCUCAUGUGGAGUGAAUUAUGCAUGAAGUAUGACAAACUUCACUUGUGUCUGCAAUGGAAGUGCCCAUUAACACAUCCAGUAGUAUUUAAUUUUGGGCCUUGCCUCCCUGGGCCGAUAUAAUUCAUUUGGCUUACAAACAAGUAUUUUUUUAUCGUUAAUUUCAAUCAAUACACCGGAAAAGGUCUUAUGAUUUCAAUAGUUUUAGUUGAAAUAUGUUUUGUAGAAUAACAUCUAGUGCACUAGCAUAUUUUGCUGCGUUUUCUGACAAAAAUCUCUAAAUUUUAUCCGUCGGAAUUCCAAAGAAAUUAUACCAAAGAUCAUAGAAGCUCUGAGUGUUGAUGGAUCUGGUGGCCACCAGAUCGAAGCUUCAACUGUUGAUCCAUCAUCAGAGAAAACCUGGGUUUCACCAUCUGAGAGAUAUACCAUUGUUCCUGAUGAAUCUAGGCAAACAGUUGCGUUUGGGGGUAAUGGGAAUGAUGCAAGUGUUCCUGAGAAUGAUGUCAAACGGAUGCGGAUUUGAUUACUCCAGAUCCAUGGAGCACCAAUAACCUGUUCUUCCGUCCCCAAGCUUCCAUUAUCCGUCUUUCUGAACCAGGCAAUGCCUAAACUGCCAUAUUUUGCACUCUUGUUACUGCUGAAUGUAAAUUCUUCCUGGACAGAACGUUGUUUUUGGUUAUAAAUUUAUUGAGAGGAAAUUUAUUUGACUCUGCAGAUUCAACUUUUUGUUCAAAAGCCACCUGACCAGGCAAAAAGGAACCGCGAUUCAGUCUGGUUUGUUCUCCUGGUGAAACUAUCGAUUUCAUUUUGCAUGCGAAAGGAUGGCUAUUGACAGAAAUGUGUCUCCAUUUUUCUCUAGUUUCAUCUUGUCAAAAUAAACAACGCUGACAAAUGUGCCCCUCAGUUGUACAUAUGAUCUUAACAACGUUCCACGCUAGCCAUUCAGUCAAGAUCCGCAA
Populus trichocarpa (black cottonwood) is the source of this 2254-nucleotide long non-coding RNA. RefSeq lists it as uncharacterized. NCBI's taxonomy places the organism in Eukaryota, Viridiplantae, Streptophyta, Magnoliopsida, Malpighiales, Salicaceae. The transcript is spliced from 3 exons. The record is from RefSeq and is a predicted model, not a curated record.